RNAcentral lists this ribosomal RNA (1520 nucleotides) under Dickeya dadantii. RNAcentral's name for it is "bacterial SSU rRNA". It matches the Rfam family "Bacterial small subunit ribosomal RNA". Lineage: Bacteria; Pseudomonadati; Pseudomonadota; Gammaproteobacteria; Enterobacterales; Pectobacteriaceae. The record is from RNAcentral.
AGAGUUUGAUCAUGGCUCAGAUUGAACGCUGGCGGCAGGCCUAACACAUGCAAGUCGAGCGGCAGCGGGGGAAGCUUGCUUCCCCGCCGGCGAGCGGCGGACGGGUGAGUAAUGUCUGGGGAUCUGCCUGAUGGAGGGGGAUAACUACUGGAAACGGUAGCUAAUACCGCAUAACGUCGCAAGACCAAAGUGGGGGACCUUCGGGCCUCACGCCAUCGGAUGAACCCAGAUGGGAUUAGCUAGUAGGUGAGGUAACGGCUCACCUAGGCGACGAUCCCUAGCUGGUCUGAGAGGAUGACCAGCCACACUGGAACUGAGACACGGUCCAGACUCCUACGGGAGGCAGCAGUGGGGAAUAUUGCACAAUGGGGGAAACCCUGAUGCAGCCAUGCCGCGUGUGUGAAGAAGGCCUUCGGGUUGUAAAGCACUUUCAGCGGGGAGGAAGGGGACAAGGUUAAUAACCUUGUUCAUUGACGUUACCCGCAGAAGAAGCACCGGCUAACUCCGUGCCAGCAGCCGCGGUAAUACGGAGGGUGCAAGCGUUAAUCGGAAUGACUGGGCGUAAAGCGCACGCAGGCGGUCUGUUAAGUUGGAUGUGAAAUCCCCGGGCUUAACCUGGGAACUGCAUUCAAAACUGACAGGCUAGAGUCUCGUAGAGGGGGGUAGAAUUCCAGGUGUAGCGGUGAAAUGCGUAGAGAUCUGGAGGAAUACCGGUGGCGAAGGCGGCCCCUGGACGAAGACUGACGCUCAGGUGCGAAAGCGUGGGGAGCAAACAGGAUUAGAUACCCUGGUAGUCCACGCUGUAAACGAUGUCGAUUUGGAGGUUGUGCCCUUGAGGCGUGGCUUCCGGAGCUAACGCGUUAAAUCGACCGCCUGGGGAGUACGGCCGCAAGGUUAAAACUCAAAUGAAUUGACGGGGGCCCGCACAAGCGGUGGAGCAUGUGGUUUAAUUCGAUGCAACGCGAAGAACCUUACCUACUCUUGACAUCCAGCGAACCCUGUAGAGAUACGGGGGUGCCUUCGGGAACGCUGAGACAGGUGCUGCAUGGCUGUCGUCAGCUCGUGUUGUGAAAUGUUGGGUUAAGUCCCGCAACGAGCGCAACCCUUAUCCUCUGUUGCCAGCACUUCGGGUGGGAACUCAGGGGAGACUGCCGGUGAUAAACCGGAGGAAGGUGGGGAUGACGUCAAGUCAUCAUGGCCCUUACGAGUAGGGCUACACACGUGCUACAAUGGCGCAUACAAAGAGAAGCGACCUCGCGAGAGCAAGCGGACCUCAUAAAGUGCGUCGUAGUCCGGAUUGGAGUCUGCAACUCGACUCCAUGAAGUCGGAAUCGCUAGUAAUCGUAGAUCAGAAUGCUACGGUGAAUACGUUCCCGGGCCUUGUACACACCGCCCGUCACACCAUGGGAGUGGGUUGCAAAAGAAGUAGGUAGCUUAACCUUCGGGAGGGCGCUUACCACUUUGUGAUUCAUGACUGGGGUGAAGUCGUAACAAGGUAACCGUAGGGGAACCUGCGGUUG